Molecule: transfer RNA, 82 nt
Filed under: Ruminococcus sp.
Lineage: Bacteria; Bacillati; Bacillota; Clostridia; Eubacteriales; Oscillospiraceae
Description: tRNA-Leu
Rfam family: tRNA
About the family: Transfer RNA (tRNA) molecules are approximately 80 nucleotides in length. Their secondary structure includes four short double-helical elements and three loops (D, anti-codon, and T loops).
Source: RNAcentral
GCGGGUGUGGUGAAAUUGGCAGACACGCAAGAUUUAGGUUCUUGUGCCGUAAGGCGUGCAGGUUCAAGUCCUGUCACCCGCA